RNAcentral lists this ribosomal RNA (415 nucleotides) under uncultured Prevotella sp. Its description in RNAcentral is "bacterial SSU rRNA". It matches the Rfam family "Bacterial small subunit ribosomal RNA", at positions 355 to 766 of the family's 1533-position model. Lineage: Bacteria; Pseudomonadati; Bacteroidota; Bacteroidia; Bacteroidales; Prevotellaceae. The record is from RNAcentral.
UGAGGAAUAUUGGGUCAAUGGCCGAGAGGCUGAACCAGCCAAGUAGCGUGCAGGACGACGGCCCUACGGGUUGUAAACUGCUUUUACGGGAGGAUAAAGUGCGCCACGCGUGGCGCUUUGCAGGUAUCCCGUGAAUAAGGACCGGCUAAUUCCGUGCCAGCAGCCGCGGUAAUACGGAAGGUCCGGGCGUUAUCCGGAUUUAUUGGGUUUAAAGGGAGCGUAGGCCGGAGAUUAAGCGUGUUGUGAAAUGCCGCGGCUCAACCGUGGCACUGCAGCGCGAACUGGUUUUCUUGAGUGCGCGCGACGCAGGCGGAAUUCGUGGUGUAGCGGUGAAAUGCUUAGAUAUCACGAGGAACCCCGAUUGCGAAGGCAGCUUGCGGGAGCGCAACUGACGCUGAAGCUCGAAGGUGCGGGU